RNAcentral lists this ribosomal RNA (377 nucleotides) under uncultured bacterium. Its description in RNAcentral is "bacterial SSU rRNA". It matches the Rfam family "Bacterial small subunit ribosomal RNA", at positions 407 to 796 of the family's 1533-position model. The record is from RNAcentral.
GAUGACGGCCUUCGGGUUGUAAACCUCUUUCAGCAGGGACGAAGCGAGAGUGACGGUACCUGCAGAAGAAGGACCGGCCAACUACGUGCCAGCAGCCGCGGUAAUACGUAGGGUCCGAGCGUUGUCCGGAAUUAUUGGGCGUAAAGGGCUCGUAGGCGGUUUGUCACGUCGGGAGUGAAAACUCGGGGCUUAACCCCGAGCCUGCUUCCGAUACGGGCAGACUAGAGGUAGGCAGGGGAGAGCGGAACUCCUGGUGUAGCGGUGGAAUGCGCAGAUAUCAGGAAGAACACCGGUGGCGAAGGCGGCUCUCUGGGCCUUACCUGACGCUGAGGAGCGAAAGCGUGGGUAGCGAACAGGAUUAGAUACCCUGGUAGUCC